This 449-nucleotide long non-coding RNA is filed under the name Homo sapiens (human). Its description in RNAcentral is "HSALNT0312205". The record is from RNAcentral. Lineage: Eukaryota; Metazoa; Chordata; Mammalia; Primates; Hominidae.
AUGCCUCUGCUGUACGCCUCGGCCACAGGACACAGAGCACUAAGAAGACAGAGAACCACUAAGAAAGACAACAAGGGCUGUUAAGGAAAUCAUGACAUUGCAUAGUUUGUGAAGCCCAUCCUGACCACAAAGGUGUUGAACUGUGAAGAAGAUCUGCAUCUCAGAACUGAUGAAUGACUUGAUUGCAUGAAUUCAUGAUUGAUUAAUGCAUUGGUGUGUUACCUUCAUUCUAAUCUGAUAAUUUAUUCUUUUUAUUUUUGAUCUUUAUUUUAAAAACUCUAUAGCGAUAGGAUAAGUUAAAAAAGUUUUACUGUGAAACGCUUUUUGUAUCAUGGGAAUAUUGAGUCUUCACAUUUGUCAGUCUGAAUCAAGAACUUGAUGCUAAUUUUUGUCGUAAAAGUUCAUAGGCAUUCCUUAGCUCUUGAUUAAAAAUAUCUAAACAAAUGAAA